Molecule: non-coding RNA, 72 nt
Organism: Gymnothorax javanicus (giant moray)
Lineage: Eukaryota; Metazoa; Chordata; Actinopteri; Anguilliformes; Muraenidae
Source: the annotation of a GenBank genome assembly
AUCUUGGUGGUGCAGGGGUUAGCACUGCUGCCUCACAGCAAGUAGGUCAUAGGUUUGAAUCCAACCUGGAGC